RNAcentral lists this ribosomal RNA (464 nucleotides) under uncultured Streptococcus sp. RNAcentral describes it as "bacterial SSU rRNA". It matches the Rfam family "Bacterial small subunit ribosomal RNA", at positions 338 to 795 of the family's 1533-position model. Lineage: Bacteria; Bacillati; Bacillota; Bacilli; Lactobacillales; Streptococcaceae. The record is from RNAcentral.
CCUACGGGCGGCAGCAGUAGGGAAUCUUCGGCAAUGGACGGAAGUCUGACCGAGCAACGCCGCGUGAGUGAAGAAGGUUUUCGGAUCGUAAAGCUCUGUUGUAAGAGAAGAACGAGUGUGAGAGUGGAAAGUUCACACUGUGACGGUAUCUUACCAGAAAGGGACGGCUAACUACGUGCCAGCAGCCGCGGUAAUACGUAGGUCCCGAGCGUUGUCCGGAUUUAUUGGGCGUAAAGCGAGCGCAGGCGGUUAGAUAAGUCUGAAGUUAAAGGCUGUGGCUUAACCAUAGUACGCUUUGGAAACUGUUUAACUUGAGUGCAAGAGGGGAGAGUGGAAUUCCAUGUGUAGCGGUGAAAUGCGUAGAUAUAUGGAGGAACACCGGUGGCGAAAGCGGCUCUCUGGCUUGUAACUGACGCUGAGGCUCGAAAGCGUGGGGAGCAAACAGGAUUAGAGACCCAGUAGUC